This 301-nucleotide ribosomal RNA is filed under the name uncultured bacterium. RNAcentral's name for it is "partial 16S ribosomal RNA". It matches the Rfam family "Bacterial small subunit ribosomal RNA", at positions 509 to 807 of the family's 1533-position model. The record is from RNAcentral.
CAGUCGCCGCGGGAAUGCGAAGGGUGCAAGCGUUAAUCGGAAUUACUGGGCGUAAAGCGUGCGUAGGCGGUUUGUUGAGUCUGCUGUGAAAUCCCCGGGCUCAACCUGGGAAUGGCAGUGGAUACUGGCAAGCUAGAGUGUGUCAGAGGAUGGUGGAAUUCCCGGUGUAGCGGUGAAAUGCGUAGAGAUCGGGAGGAACAUCAGUGGCGAAGGCGGCCAUCUGGGACAACACUGACGCUGAGGCACGAAAGCGUGGGGAGCAAACAGGAUUAGAGACCCGAGUAGUCCCUGUCUCUUAUAC